RNAcentral lists this ribosomal RNA (464 nucleotides) under uncultured bacterium. Its description in RNAcentral is "partial 16S ribosomal RNA". It matches the Rfam family "Bacterial small subunit ribosomal RNA", at positions 338 to 795 of the family's 1533-position model. The record is from RNAcentral.
CCUACGGGUGGCAGCAGUGGGGAAUAUUGCGCAAUGGGCGAAAGCCUGACGCAGCGACGCCGCGUGAGGGAUGAAGGUCUUCGGAUCGUAAACCUCUGUCAGCAGGGAAGAACGGUCACUGUGCUAAUCAGCAGUGAAUUGACGGUACCUGCAAAGAAGCCCCGGCUAACUACGUGCCAGCAGCCGCGGUAAUACGUAGGGGGCAAGCGUUAUCCGGAAUUACUGGGUGUAAAGGGAGCGUAGACGGUGAUGUAAGUCUGGAGUGAAAGGCGGGGGCCCAACCCCCGGACUGCUCUGGAAACUAUGUGACUGGAGUGCAGGAGAGGUGAGCGGAAUUCCUAGUGUAGCGGUGAAAUGCGUAGAUAUUAGGAGGAACACCGGUGGCGAAGGCGGCCUGCUGGACUGUGACUGACGUUGAGGCCCGAAGGCGUGGGGAGCAAACAGGAUUAGAUACCCCAGUAGUC